AUAAGUUUAAUUUUUUAAGUAUUAGAAAGGUUUGAAUCAGUUUGAAUCAGUUCAAAUUAGUUUGAAAAAUUAAAUGAUAACUCAUCACUGAGUGACUUUAAAAUGUGAGAAAUCUAAAUGUAUAUAAAUCCUAAAUACACCCCACAAUGUCCUCAAUGAGCUCAAAUUUUAAAGCCCUGAAUGGUUUCUGUAGGUCAAAGGUCAUGUGAGGAGAUAGGGGCUGAAGUUUUUUCAAGCGCUCUAGUAAAAGGUUUUAAGUGUCAUCCCCAGUGCUAUGUGUGCUGAGCCUGGCUUCAUGUGUCUCAUAUGGCCAUUAGAGGCAGCUUUCCAGUCAGCUGUGUGUCUCCAGGUGCACUAAUUGGUUGCCAUGGGGACCUUGGAUGCAUACCUAUAGCAGGAGAAAGAAGGCUUGAAGCUAAGGAAACAGGACUCCAAGUAGGCCCUGACGCUCAUCCUCUGUAUCUAUUCCUGAUAAGGAGCUUGUGAGAACACAAGACUCUGCUAAACACAUUAAUACAAUUUAUUAUCACAAUCCUCAAAACACCCCAUAAUAUCUUCAAUGAGCUGAAUUUUUGAAGCCCAGAAUGGUUUCUGUAGCUCAAAGUUUGUGGGUGGAGAUAGGUGGUGAAGCAGACACAUAUUAACUGUGUGUACAAGCAGCUGAACUGCAAGGUGGACCUCAAAAAGCAACAAGUACAAGAAUGUGUGUGCGUGUGUGUGUGUGUCUCGUUAAUGACUGCAUCCUAAACAGCUGUGAGAUCAAAGGCAAAUCACUAACCUACUGUUUGACUGAGAGGUGCUGAACUGCAGUGAAUUUCAGCCUGUGAACUUCUUCACAUAGCGUGAUUUCCUUAAGUCCCAGAAUGAAAAUAAGAACAUCGUACGAAUCCUCCGUCCUUCAUGAACACAAUGAUGUCUUUUUCAUGUCUGUACUUCGAAAAAUGUGGCCACAACAGCGAGUUAAAAAAGUCUGAGCCUGAGUGGGGAUAAGGAUUUUCUUGGAGAAGAAAUACAUUAGGUCUAAUGGGGAGAGAUUUCCGCCUAUUUGGACAGUUGGUCACCUGCUGGCCAAGGGGUAGGAUUUAAUGAUUUGAAACCUCUUUUGUGAGAAGCAGGACACAUAUACCUCCAUUUUGAUGUAUUUUUUAUGGCUGUGGAGUGAGAUUUGUGGGCGUGGGAGCGAUAUAUUUGAGCGAGGUUCUGUCGAUCAGAGACGAGGUCUGCACUCUAGCUUUUCAAAUCAUCACUCUAGCCUCUCCAAUACACCCCUAUUAUAAAGCCUGAAAUUUGCUGAAAACCACAAGUUGCAUAAAGCUAAAUUGUGGAAAAACUGUAAAAGAUAGCACAAAGAGGUUAAUACAACAUCAAUAGUCGACAAGACAAUGAACAUUUUAAAGCAAAAAUGAGGUCUCUAGGUUAAAGUAUGCUGAAGUUAUAAGGUCUAGAAGGUGGACGAAUAACAGGAAGAAUUGAAAGAUUUCCCCAUUCAUUUCUAUGGGGAAAAAAGUUUGGCACAAAAAGUGAAAAAUAAUAAAAAGUAUAAAGGGUAGAAAAGAGAAAAGUAAUAGCCAUCAUGUCCUGAUGGAGCGGAAUAGUUUAAAGUUUGAACGGUUGAAAUCGGACAAAGUUUGAAGGAGGAGAAGCGGUCCAAAGAAACGUAUGGGGAGAGUGUUAAGUAUAAUACUAGAAAAAUUGCAUUUCCUUGCAGAAAAUGCGUGGAAAUGCUGAGUGCUGAAAGCUGAAAAAGCAAUGCUGAACUGCUAAUAAAACAUGGAGAAAGGUAUAAAUGUUAAAGCUGUUGAAGGGGUGAAAAUGAAAUAUAAGUUGGAUAACUGUUUAAUUGGUUGAAGUACAAAUAUUAUGAAUAUGCUCUAUAAAAGGAAAUUUGACAUUAACAGUAGUUGUCGUACUUGAGGUAGGAUUUUGUUUGAAGGACGGAAUAAUGCAUAAAUAUUAAAACUAAUAUAAACAGGGAAAAUUUUAUUAAUUUAAAAUCCUCAAGUAUCAGAAGGUUUUUAAGUAUUAGAAAGGUUUGAAUCAUUUUGAAUGAGUUUAAAUUAGUUUGAAAAAUGAAAUGAUAAAUCAUCACUGAGUGACUUUAAAAUGUGAAAAAUUUAAAUGAAUUUAAAUCCUAAAUACACCCCAUAUUGUCCUCAAUGAGCUUAAAUUUUAAAGCCCUGAAUGGUUUCUGUAGGUCAAAGGUCAUGUGAGGAGAUAGGGGCUGAAGUUUUUUCCAACGCUCUAGGAAAGGGUUUUAAGUGUCAUCCCAAGUGCUAUGUGUACUGAGCCUGGCUUCAUGUGUCUCAUAUGGCCAUUAGAAGCAGCUUUCCAGUCAGCUGUGUGUCUCCAGGUGCAAAAAUUGGUUGCCAUGGGGACCUUGGAUGCAUAACUAUAGCACGAGAAAGAAGGCUUGAAUGCUAAGGAAACAGGACUCCAAGUAGGCCCUGACGCUCAUCCUCUAUAUAUAUUUAUGAUAAGGAGCUUGUGAGAACCACAAAAACUGCUGAACACAUUAAUACAAUUUAUAAUCACAAUCCUCAAAACACCCCAUAAUAUCUUCAAUGAGCUGAAUUUUUGAAGCCCAGAAUGGUUUCUGUGGCUCAAAGUUUGUGGGUGGAGAUAGGUGGCGAAGCAGACACAUAUUAACUGUGUGUACAAUCAGCUGAACUGCAAGGUAGACCUGACAAAGCAACAAGUACAAGAAUGUGUGUGUGUGUGUGUGUGUGUGUGUGUGUGUGUCUCGUUAAUGACUGCAUCCUAAACAGCUGUGAGAUCAAAGGCAAAUCACUGACCUACUGUUUGAAUGAGAAGCAGCUGAACUGCAGAGGAUUUAGAGGCUCUAAACUUCUUCACAUAGCGUGAUUUCCUUAAGUCACAGAAUGAAAAUAAGAACAUCGUACGAAUCCUCCGCCCUUCAUGAACACAAUGAUGUCUUUUUCAUGUCUGUACUUCGAAAAAUGAGGCCACAACAGCGAGUUAAAAAAGUCUGAGCCUGAGCGAUGAUCCGGAUUUUCUUGGAGAAAAAUAACAUUAUGGUCAAUGGGAGAGAUUUCCGCCUUUUUUGGACAGUUGGUCACCUGCUGGCCAAGGGGUACGAUUUAAUGAUUUGAAACCUCUUUUGUGAGAAGCAGGACACAUAUACCUCCAUUUUGAUGUAUUAUUUGUGUCAGUGGAGUGAGAUUUGUGGGCGUGGGAGCGAUAUAUUCGAGCGAGGUUCUGUCGAUCAGAGACGAGGUCUGCACUCUAGCUGAUGACAUCAUCACUCUAAACUCUCCAAUACACACCCAUUAUAAAGCUUGAAAUUUGCUGAAAACCACAAGUUGCUUAAAGCUAAAUUGUGGAAGAACUGUAGAAGAUAUCAAAAAACCGAGUACAACUGUAAUAGUCGACAAGUGAGUGAACAUUUGAAAGCAAAAAUGAGGUCUCUAGGUGAAAGUAUGCUGAAGUUAUAAGGUCUAGAAGGUGGAAGAAUGAAAGGAAGAAGUUGAAGAUUUCCCCAUUGACUUCAAUGUUAAAAUUUUUGCACAAAAAGUUUAAAAAAUCAAAAAGUAUAAAAGGUAGAAGAGUGAAAAGUAAUAGCCAUCAUGUCCUGAAGGAGUGGAAUAGUUUAAAGUUUGAACGGUUGAAAUCGGACAAAGUUUGAAGGAGGAGAAGCGUUGCAAAAAAGGGACGGAAGAAUAAUAAUAAUAAUAACUAGAAAAUGCAAUUUCUGAAGAAAUUGCGAGUGGGAUUGCUUCAGUUGAAAUUGCUAGCGCUACGCUGCUAUUGCGAAUGGCUGAAUUUUAAAAUAUGUGAAAGGUCAAAAAGUAUGAAGUAUCAGGAAGAUUUGAAUCAAUUGGAAUAAACUCAAUUGAAUGAAUUGACUAAAUCAUUAAUAAAUUUUGAAAAUUCAAUGUGUGAAAGUUAAAAUGAUUAAAAACCCUGAAGCAUGGGAAAGGCUUGAAGAGUCAAUAAGGGUUGAAUCAGUUCAAAUGAGUUGGAAUUUGUUUGAAAGAACUGAAUAAUGCAUUAAGAGUAAAAAAUGAUUUAAAACUGGAAAAUUAAAAGGUUACAAAUCUGGAAGAAAAAGAGGUUUGAAGAAUCAAAACGGUUUAAAUCAGUUUGAAGGAGUGUAAAUUAGUUGGAAGAGUUAAAUAAUGCAUUUUCAAUGAAUGAUUGAAAAAGGGGGAAAUAUAAAUGAAUAAAAAUCCUUAUUAGACCCCAUAAUGUCCUCAAUGAGCUGAAUUUAUUGAGCCCUGGUUGGUUUCUGUAGCUCAAGGUUUGUGCCAAGAGAUAGAUGACAAAUUUCGUCAAAUAACUCUAUUGAAGGGUUUUAAAUUUAACCCCCAGUACUCUGUGUACUGAGCCUGGCUUCAUGUGUCUCAUAUGGCUGUUAGAAGCAGCUUUCCAGCCAGCUGUGUGUCUCCAGGUGCUCUUAUUGGUUGCCAUGGUGACGAUAGAUGCUUAACAACAGCAGGAGAAAGGAGGCUUGAGGCUGAGAAUGUAAUGCCCAAACAACGUCAUAUUUCUCAUCCUCUGUAACUGCUAUCUUCAUGAUAAUGAGCUUGUGAGAACCACAAGACCCGGCUGAACACGUUGAUACAACUUCUGUGUCUGUGGAGCCAAAAAUGCCUUCACUACGACGAGUUAAAAACAUGUCCAGUUUGUGUUUCCUCUGAAAAUCCUCCUCUCAGGUUUAUAUUGGAGUCAAUGGAGAAAGCUGGAGAAAUCUGGGGGAUGUCUGCGGCAGUUGGUGUCUGCCCAGGCCACUGUGUGUGUCCUAUGGCUUUGAUUUUUGACAUGAAGAGUGACAGCAAGUUUUGCCAUCACUGUACCAAUUUUUAUCUGUGUAGAGCCAAGUGAGUUGCCACAAUCCUUUUGUAAAGACAAAGUUUUGAGGAUCAAUUUUCAGCCUGUCUCACUCUAGCUGUGAGGUCACCCACUCUAGCUGCCAACAUUCCGUGCAAUACACACUAAUGUUAAAACCUGAACAGGUCUGAAAAUCUUUGGACUUUUUGAACUGUCACUGUGAGAAAAGUAUGAAUGCCAUGAAGAUGGUGAAUGAAUGAGUGAAUGUCUGAAGAUGUGUGAAUAUUUUAAAGUUUGAAUGAAGUUUCUAGGUGAAAGUAUGAAUGAAUGAGAAGAGGUUGAAGUUGACUACGUCUGAAGCCCUUUUCCCAUUGAAUCCCAUUAUAACGAAGUUUUAAACAAAUCUUAAUAUUUUGAAAAGUACAAAUGGGAUUAAAAAUGUUGAAGAUGUGGAAUAAUGCUGACGAAGUUGUGAAUAUUUUGGUUUUUGAAUGAAGUUUCUACGUGGAAGUAUAGAGGAGUUGAAGGCUUUUGAAGUUGUGUGAAGAAAAUGUGAGAAAAGGGCCAAUUUGAACAUUCCGUAAUGCAUUUCCAAUGGGAGAAAUCGGUCGGAAAACCUGGAAUAUCUCGGAAAGUAUGAAUGUUAGGAAAUUUUUGAAUACAAGCCGGAAUCUCCUGAAUGAGACGAAUCUUUUGAAGUUUGAAUGGUUUGAAUACGUUGAAGUAUGUGGAAGGAGAAGCGGUCCAAAAAACGGUGGAAGAAUAAUAAUAAUAAAGAUAUGAAUAACAUAUAGUGGGAAUGCUUCGCAAUCCCACUCAAUAAGUUUAAUAAAGAAACGGGAGAAUAACAAUAAGUGGAAAUGCCUAUCAGCAUUUCCACUUAACUAGAAAAAUUGCAUUUCCUUGCAGAAAAUGCGUGGAAAUGCUGAGUGCUGAAAGCUGAAAAAGCAAUGCUAAACUGGUAAUAAAACAUGGAGAAAGGUAUAAAUGUUAAAGCUGUUGAAGGAGUGAAAAAGAAAUAUAAGUUGGAUAAUGGUUUAAUUGGUUAAAGGACAAAUAGUAUGAAUAUGCUCUAUAAGAGGAAAUCUUAUUCAUGCUGAAAGAGGCUAGAAAAAUGUCUACAAUUGCACAAAGUUUGAAUGAAGAAGGAAAUUGCCUUAAAAGGCAGGAAGGUGAGAAGUGGCAUAAGUUUAAGUUGUAGUACUAGAAGUAGUAUGAUAAGAAGUCAAGUCGUGAUACUAGUAGUCAUGUCAGCAGUAGAAGUAGUUUAAGAAUAAAAGAAGUAUAAGUCAAAGUAGUAAAGAAAGUAGAAAUAGGAGCAAUAGCAGUUGAAGUAGAGGGGAAAGUUCUAGUUUAAUUGACAUAAGCAGUAGUUGUAGUACUUGAUGUAGGAUUUUGUUUGAAGGAUGGAGUAAUGCAUAAAUAUUAAAACUAAUUUAAACAUGGAAAAUUUAAAUAAUUAAAAAUCCUCAAGUAUCAGAAAGUUUUUAAGGAUUAGAAAGGUUUGAAUCAGUUUGAAUGAGUUUAAAUUAGUUUGAAAAAUUAAAUGAUAAAUCAUCACUGAGUGACUUUAAAAUGUGAAAAAUUUAAAUGAACAUAAAUCCUAAAUACAUCCCAUAAUGUCCUCAAUGAGCAUAAAUUUUAAAGCCCUGAAUGGUUUCUGUAGGUCAAAGGUCAUGUGAGGAGAUAGGGGCUUAGAUUUUUUCAAGCGCUGUAGUAGAGGGUUUUAAGUGUCAUCCUCAGUGCUAUGUGUACUGAGCCUGGCUUCAUGUGUCUCAUUUGGCCAUUAGAAGCAGCUUUCCAGUCAGCUGUGUGUCUCCAGGUGCACAAAUUGGUUGCUAUGGGGACCUUGGAUGCAUAACUAUAGCA
This 6657-nucleotide long non-coding RNA is filed under the name Xyrichtys novacula (pearly razorfish). The record is from RNAcentral. Lineage: Eukaryota; Metazoa; Chordata; Actinopteri; Labriformes; Labridae.